GAUGAACGCUGGCGGCGUGCCUAAUACAUGCAAGUCGAGCGAACAGACGAGGAGCUUGCUCCUCUGACGUUAGCGGCGGACGGGUGAGUAACACGUGGAUAACCUACCUAUAAGACUGGGAUAACUUCGGGAAACCGGAGCUAAUACCGGAUAAUAUAUUGAACCGCAUGGUUCAAUAGUGAGAGACGGUUUUGCUGUCACUUAUAGAUGGAUCCGCGCCGCAUUAGCUAGUUGGUAAGGUAACGGCUUACCAAGGCAACGAUGCGUAGCCGACCUGAGAGGGUGAUCGGCCACACUGGAACUGAGACACGGUCCAGACUCCUACGGGAGGCAGCAGUAGGGAAUCUUCCGCAAUGGGCGAAAGCCUGACGGAGCAACGCCGCGUGAGUGAUGAAGGUCUUCGGAUCGUAAAACUCUGUUAUUAGGGAAGAACAAAUGUGUAAGUAAGUAUGCACGUCUUGACGGUACCUAAUCAGAAAGCCACGGCUAACUACGUG
This 497-nucleotide ribosomal RNA is filed under the name uncultured bacterium. Its description in RNAcentral is "partial 16S ribosomal RNA". It matches the Rfam family "Bacterial small subunit ribosomal RNA", at positions 28 to 507 of the family's 1533-position model. The record is from RNAcentral.